CCACUCUGAUUUAUAUUUUGUUCAGACAACCUCGGGCAAUCUUUAAUAAAGUGGUCAACUGAUCCGCACUUGUAACAGGAGCGGUCAUGGAAUCUACAACUCCCCGAGUGCCAUUUACCGCAAUACCAACACUCCGUUCUGUCUCGACGAUCAUUUCCAACACUGGCGACCGAAGUGACUCGUGCACUCACAGGGGGUCG
RNAcentral lists this long non-coding RNA (200 nucleotides) under Gossypium barbadense (sea-island cotton). RNAcentral's name for it is "long non-coding RNA (GBAR_LNC007483)". Lineage: Eukaryota; Viridiplantae; Streptophyta; Magnoliopsida; Malvales; Malvaceae. The record is from RNAcentral.